CACCCCAUCGCCCUCUGCCAAGAGGACACAACCGUUCACGCCUGGAUAUGCAGCUCCACAGAUGCGUUGACCUCUGGAGGCCGAAUUACAGUCCGCUUAUGAGAAGCAGCGGUGUUGAGCUCAGCUCGCUAAAAAUGCAACAUCCAAAAUAACGUCGUCAGGAACUUCACUCCCACGAGAUGCUUGCUGGAAGAGGAUCUUUGGUCAUAUGAGGAAACCAAGGGUCAGCGAGGCCGCAGAGUGGCUCUCCGUUACUGAGAUUCCAAAUCCUUUGACGCAACCACACUUCAGCUGCCUCCCUGCGGAUGGAAAGACCCGUAUAAGAGACUGACUCCUCUGUCUGCCAAGGGGAUGCUUCCUUUCCUCAAAGAGACCCCGCUGGAUCCCAACGGGACCAGCCUUGUGCCUAGCGGAUAACCAUCAAUAAGAUGAUUGGAGAAACAUGGAGGAAAAGCCUUAUCCUGAAACAGCCUCUCGCAUGCAGACGUCACAGGGUCUCGGGGUCCACCACCGGGAUUCAUGCUGUGAUCACACAUUAUAUAUGAUACAGUAUUCCUGAACAGCCUCUCAUCCAGGUACUUACCAGGCCUAGCAAACUUUAGCUGUCAAUGUAAACUUGUUCGGGGGGUGGGGUGGGGGCACAUUUCAAGGUCAUAUAGCAUUUUCACGCUUUACUAAGGUGUUUUCAUGUCCAACCUCAUCUCUGUUUCAUUCUCUGGGAGCCCCCUGAAUCCUCCCCAUGCGGGUAUGGGUUGGGAAUGACCCUGUCCGUCUCUGGUCCAGCCCUGAGCAGUUCUCCCUGCAUUGGCUGAUGGUGGAAAUGGGUAGAGGAGGUCAGUGUGACAGCCCAGUCCACACAACCCCGUCAUAGACAGGCAUCAAUACAACCAAGUCAGAACCCUGUGGCUCUGCGUCAUUGGUGGCUGUGAGGAUGAUCCACGGGGUGUCAGACCUGGAUCAGACUCACUAGCUCUUACCUAAGUUAGCUUUGCCUCUUUCUCCUCUCAGUUUCUUCAUCUGUAAAAGGGAAUUGACCACAGUGCGGUCUCCCAGAUCAUCGUGCCUGCCGUCUCCAGCACUGACAAUAGGCACUCCUUAAUUCCUCUAGGACGGGUCUGGGAGGCCCCACAGCCCUGGAACUUUCUUUAGCCCUGCAGGGGACUCGGGGAUCAUCUGGCACAGUGCACGGUUUCCAGACUUUUAGAUGUCAACCAUUAAUAAAAAGGAAAACAAACAAAAAAUUGGACCAGCCAGAGAGGUCUUGACAUUUUACUUGCAGGUAAGAGCCCCCCAAAAUAAGUGUAUAAGACUACAAUCCACCAUCAUUUUUAUUUCAUAAAAGAAUCUUAACCAUCCUGUUUUUUUUUAAGAAAAAAAGGAGGAAGGGCAUAAUACCCAAAUAAGUUUAGCUUUGUAAAAAAAAAAACUCUUCACGAUGUCUUUUUUUUUUUAAUUUUUUUAAAAUUUAUUUUUGCGUGCGAGAGAGAGAGAGUGAGGGAGGGGCAGAAAGAGAGAGGGGGACAGAGGAUCUGAAGCAGGCUCUAGGCUGACAGCAGAGAAAACCAAUGAAAACAUCACAGACCAGUACUAGGGAACCUCAGAUCUUCAUGCGUUGGAUGAGGCAACCGAAGCGUAGCAAGGUGAAGUGACAUGCCCAAGGUCACAAAGUGGCUGCAAUGUCUCAUUCUAUCUAGCGAAACACUUGUGGACGUGAGAUCCCCUCCUGUGGCCCAGACCGGUGCCCUGGGCUGGGAGUUAGGAGGUCUGGGCUCUUCUACAGCCAUUUGUCCUGAAGCCACACUUUCUGCCUUUUCCACUUGUCUAAAACGGGGAUGAAAUCAUCCCGUCACUCAAGACUGGUGUGAGAACCUGAUGAGAGAAGCGUUUUAAAAGUGCUCUGGAGAUGUGUAUCAGGGUAUGAGAGUGAGGUACUAGGAGCGAAAAGUCCUGCCGUCCUGCCUGUGACUUGCUCACUUGCUCGAAAAUACUUCCGCCAACAAAAACAGGUGGAGCAAAUAUGGCACCAUAUUAACCAUGAUUAAAUCUACGUGGUGGGUAUUGCCAGGCUAGCCUCCCCACUUUUCUACAUACUUGAAAAUUUUCUUAAGCAUUCCAUCAUUUUUUUUUUUUUAAGUGCUCUGGCAAGGUAAAUGGAAGGGGACGGUAUUACUCACAGAGAAGACGCCCUCAGGGAGAUCCAAGUCCUGGGCUCUGCGGCCAGGUGGGGUCUACCACCCCAGGAGAUGGAGCAGCCCACUCUUCACCAGCCCGGGGCACAAAGAGCCAUGGUCAGGAAGUGAUUGGCUUCCUCCCCAGGCAGGCCUGGUGCCUGUGGCCGGGUGAGGGAAGCCUCCCGCCCACCCCUUCUCAGUGCAAGGCACCAUCUGACAGACCCAGCCCUGCAGCGGCCACCGGCAGUGGGGACCUUGGGGGCUGCCUAGCGCAGCCAACCGCUGUGGGGGGCUUAUGAAUAUGCAGAUAGAGGCCAGAGCUGGUUGGCUGCCACCCGCCCCCUGCCAUCUCCUACCCCCACCCCAACUUAGAUGCCCAGAAAAGCCAGCCGAGAGACCUUCCUGAAAGGCCAUCUCUUCUGCCUUUUCUUAAAAAUUGGGGGACUUAAUUACCCAGCUUCUCCCAUUGCACUCACUGGCCUUCGGGGAGCUCCUGACCUCUGCUUCCAAAUUCCCCAGCGAGGCUGCUCCAAAGCGAACAUCAUUCUCCCUGUGCCUCAAGCAUCCUGAGGAUACUAAAACCGGCUCGGCACCAAAAUAUGGCAUCUUGGCUGUGCGGGAAGGAGUGGCUGUGUGGCUUCUCCUUUUAGCAGAGGUCUAAACACUGUUGGGGAGGCUGUUUGCUGGGCCAAAAGCCUCCAUCUGUGACAGAGCUGGGGAGAACUCACUGGCCAAAUCCACCUACCCCCAGACAUCACUUGAAUUUUGCCAUCUUCUCCUCCUUCAGUUUGGGAAGUGGAGUGUAUGUUAUGAUAUACGGCAAUGAGAAUCAAUGAACUACAGCUCAACUCAACAUGGGUAAAUCCUCAAAACGCACUGUUGAGUGAAAGAAGUAAGUCACAGAAUGAUACAGAUGCUGUGAUCCCAGUUACAUUACGUUUAAAAAUAGGCCCAACAAUGUCUACAUUUUUAUUGAGUUUCAUCCAUCCAUUAUUAAUUACAAUUGAACAGAAGGGUAUCUGGGUGGCUCCGUUGGUUAAGUGUGUGACUUCAGCUCAGGUCAUGAUCUUGUGGUUCGUAAAUUCGAGUCUUGUAUACUUAGUUUGGGGGGCUCUUACCUGCAAGAAAAGUGUCAAGACCUCUCCAGCUGUGCUGACAGCUCAGAGCCUGGAGCCUGCUUCAGAUUCUGUGUCUCCCCUCUCUCUCUGCCCCUCCCCCGCUUGCUCGCGCGCGCGC
This is a long non-coding RNA of Felis catus (domestic cat), 3407 nucleotides long. RefSeq lists it as uncharacterized. The transcript is spliced from 3 exons. Lineage: Eukaryota; Metazoa; Chordata; Mammalia; Carnivora; Felidae. The record is from RefSeq and is a predicted model, not a curated record.